Juglans regia (Persian walnut) is the source of this 73-nucleotide non-coding RNA. NCBI's taxonomy places the organism in Eukaryota, Viridiplantae, Streptophyta, Magnoliopsida, Fagales, Juglandaceae. The record is from the annotation of a RefSeq genome assembly.
GCGCUCGUGGCCUAAUGGAUAAGGCGCCCGUCUUCUAAACGGAAGAUUGUGGGUUCGAGUCCCACCGUGCGUA